CUUUGUUUCCCCUUUUUAGGGCUGAGUAAUAUUCCACUGAACCUGUGUAUCACAUCUUCUUCAUCUACUCCUCUGCCGGGGGAUAUUUAGGUUCCUUCCAUGGGUUUGCUGUUGUAAACAGCGCUGCAGUGAACUUUGAGGUGCGUGUAUCCUUUCAGACCAUGUUUUCCUCUGGGUAUAUGCCCAGGAGUGGGAUUGCAGGGUCAUACAAACCAUGAAUAAAAAUAAUUGGAAGUGAA
This is a long non-coding RNA of Cervus elaphus (red deer), 239 nucleotides long. RefSeq lists it as uncharacterized. The transcript has 3 exons. NCBI's taxonomy places the organism in Eukaryota, Metazoa, Chordata, Mammalia, Artiodactyla, Cervidae. The record is from RefSeq and is a predicted model, not a curated record.